Molecule: ribosomal RNA, 253 nt
Filed under: uncultured bacterium
Lineage: Bacteria
Description: partial 16S ribosomal RNA
Rfam family: Bacterial small subunit ribosomal RNA
Source: RNAcentral
UACGUAGGUGGCAAGCGUUGUCCGGAUUUACUGGGCGUAAAGAGCGCGCAGGCGGCUCGGUAAGUCUGCUGUGAAAUCUCCCGGCUUAACUGGGAGGGGUCAGCAGAUACUGUCGGGCUUGAGGCAGGUAGAGGAAGGUGGAAUUCCGGGUGUAGUGGUGGAAUGCGUAGAGAUCCGGAGGAACACCAGCGGCGAAGGCGGCAUCCUGGACUGGCAUUGACGCUGAGGCGCGAAAGCUAGGGGAGCAAACGGG